Molecule: long non-coding RNA, 575 nt
Filed under: Equus asinus (donkey)
Lineage: Eukaryota; Metazoa; Chordata; Mammalia; Perissodactyla; Equidae
Description: lncRNA (ENSEASG00005036552.1)
Source: RNAcentral
GAUAUUAGGAAAGCAGUUCCAUUUCCAAAAGCAUCAAAAAUAAUAAAAUAGAAAAGGCUGUAAACUGAAAACUACAAACAUUACUGAAAAAACCUAAUUUAAAUAAGUGAAAGGGCAGCCAUGUUCAUGGAUUGGAUGACAAUACUGUGCAGGAAAAUAAUGAAACCCAAACCAUCAGGAACGGUAUCACUUGAGCAGAGCAUAGGUGCAAGUAGCAUCCGUGUUAUAUGCAGAAACAUUCACCUUGACCCCAGGGGGGAUCUGGGCUGAGACCAGAUGACUGAAAUCUCUGGGCGAUGGUGAACACAGAAUUGGGGGACAGCAGAUAUGAAGACGCACUGAGCCACAUGCCGGAUGCCCCAAGCGCAGAGAGAGCUUGUGAGCUUCUAGCGGUGGAGACUUGACACACUGCGGGAGAGGAAAAUGAAGUUACUGGACCCACUGAAACGGGACUCAUUGAUCCUCUAGCCCAUGGUGGGCAGUGUGCAUCAGCGUGGUCCUUCAGAUUUUUAGAUGCUCCUUCUCUUCAAAUUUCGCGCUCAUCAAAGUACAUAUUUUUCUGCACUGUAUCAAAG